RNAcentral lists this ribosomal RNA (473 nucleotides) under uncultured Oscillibacter sp. RNAcentral's name for it is "partial 16S ribosomal RNA". The record is from RNAcentral. Lineage: Bacteria; Bacillati; Bacillota; Clostridia; Eubacteriales; Oscillospiraceae.
CACGUAGUUAGCCGUGGCUUAUUCGACAGGUACCGUCUUCUGCUCUUCCCUGUCAAAAGAAGUUUACAACCCGAAAGCCUUCUUCCUUCACGCGGCGUUGCUGGGUCAGACUUGCGCCCAUUGCCCAAUAUUCCCCACUGCUGCCUCCCGUAGGAGUCUGGGCCGUAUCUCAGUCCCAAUGUGGCCGGCCAACCUCUCAGUCCGGCUACUGAUCGUCGCCUUGGUAGGCCGUUACCCUACCAACUAGCUAAUCAGACGCGAGGCCAUCUCUCAGCGAUAAAUCUUUGGUACCAGUACCAUGCGAUACCCGUACGUUAUGCGGUAUUAGCAGUCGUUUACCAACUGUUCGUCCCCCUCUGAAAGGCAGGUUCCUCACGUCGUUACUCCACCCGUCCGACCUACUAAGUACGUCCCUCUCCAUUCGACCGAAAUCCUCUUCGAGGUACUCCGUUCGACUUGCAUUGUAGUUAGCC